RNAcentral lists this ribosomal RNA (492 nucleotides) under uncultured bacterium. RNAcentral describes it as "partial 16S ribosomal RNA". It matches the Rfam family "Bacterial small subunit ribosomal RNA", at positions 29 to 507 of the family's 1533-position model. The record is from RNAcentral.
AGUGAACGCUGGCGGUAGGCCUAACACAUGCAAGUCGAACGGCAGCACAGUAAGAGCUUGCUCUUACGGGUGGCGAGUGGCGGACGGGUGAGGAAUACAUCGGAAUCUACUUUUUCGUGGGGGAUAACGUAGGGAAACUUACGCUAAUACCGCAUACGACCUACGUGUGAAAGCAGGGGAUCUUCGGACCUUGCGCGAUUGAAUGAGCCGAUGUCGGAUUAGCUAGUUGGCGGGGUAAAGGCCAACCAAGGCGACGAUCCGUAGCUGGUCUGAGAGGAUGAUCAGCCACACUGGAACUGAGACACGGUCCAGACUCCUACGGGAGGCAGCAGUGGGGAAUAUUGGACAAUGGGCGCAAGCCUGAUCCAGCCAUACCGCGUGGGUGAAGAAGGCCUUCGGGUUGUAAAGCCCUUUUGUUGGGAAAGAAAAGCAGCAGGUUAAUACCCCGCUGUUCUGACGGUACCCAAAGAAUAAGCACCGGCUAACUUCGUG